GAUGAACGCUGGCGGCGUGCCUAAUACAUGCAAGUCGAGCGAACAGAUAAGGAGCUUGCUCCUCUGACGUUAGCGGCGGACGGGUGAGUAACACGUGGAUAACCUACCUAUAAGACUGGGAUAACUUCGGGAAACCGGAGCUAAUACCGGAUAAUAUAUUGAACCGCAUGGUUCAAUAGUGAAAGGCGGUUUUGCUGUCACUUAUAGAUGGAUCCGCGCCGCAUUAGCUAGUUGGUAAGGUAACGGCUUACCAAGGCAACGAUGCGUAGCCGACCUGAGAGGGUGAUCGGCCACACUGGAACUGAGACACGGUCCAGACUCCUACGGGAGGCAGCAGUAGGGAAUCUUCCGCAAUGGGCGAAAGCCUGACGGAGCAACGCCGCGUGAGUGAUGAAGGUCUUCGGAUCGUAAAACUCUGUUAUCAGGGAAGAACAAAUGUGUAAGUAACUAUGCACGUCUUGACGGUACCUAAUCAGAAAGCCACGGCUAACUACGUG
RNAcentral lists this ribosomal RNA (497 nucleotides) under uncultured bacterium. Its description in RNAcentral is "partial 16S ribosomal RNA". It matches the Rfam family "Bacterial small subunit ribosomal RNA", at positions 28 to 507 of the family's 1533-position model. The record is from RNAcentral.